This 278-nucleotide unclassified non-coding RNA is filed under the name Hevea brasiliensis (rubber tree). Lineage: Eukaryota; Viridiplantae; Streptophyta; Magnoliopsida; Malpighiales; Euphorbiaceae. The record is from RNAcentral.
GAUCUGGAUAUCCAUUUCCAUUCUCAUUCCAUUUGCAAAACGGACUAAAACAUGCCCUAAAACUUAGAAAUGAUUCUGCAAUAAGUUUGGCAAGAAAGUUGGACAAUGAUAAUUCAACCUCUUGGGAACAAAUAGCUUCUUUAUGGUUUUUGUCUUGGGGCUUUCAAAACAAUGUUCCCAACUGAUACCCAAUUUGAGGGCUUUUGUUUGUCCAAUUUUUCCUUCUCUCUUUCGUUACAUGUCCUAAUUAAAAGUAUUCCCUCUUCUCUUAUUAAUAC